UUUAAAGAGAGUUUGAUCCUGGCUCAGGACGAACGCUGGCGGCGUGCCUAAUACAUGCAAGUCGAACGAACGGAGGAAGAGCUUGCUCUUCCAAAGUUAGUGGCGGACGGGUGAGUAACACGUGGGCAACCUGCCUGUAAGUUGGGGAUAACUCCGGGAAACCGGGGCUAAUACCGAAUGAUAGAGUG
Molecule: ribosomal RNA, 188 nt
Filed under: Listeria monocytogenes
Lineage: Bacteria; Bacillati; Bacillota; Bacilli; Caryophanales; Listeriaceae
Also listed under: 1 other name
Description: partial 16S ribosomal RNA
Rfam family: Bacterial small subunit ribosomal RNA
Source: RNAcentral